GCAUUCGUGGCCGAGUGGUCGAAGGCACCGGACUCAUAAUCCGUCUUCUUAGGAACAUCACUGGUUCAAAUCCAGUCGGAUGCA
Molecule: transfer RNA, 84 nt
Filed under: Pseudo-nitzschia pungens
Lineage: Eukaryota; Bacillariophyta; Bacillariophyceae; Bacillariales; Bacillariaceae
Also listed under: 2 other names
Description: tRNA-Met
Rfam family: tRNA
About the family: Transfer RNA (tRNA) molecules are approximately 80 nucleotides in length. Their secondary structure includes four short double-helical elements and three loops (D, anti-codon, and T loops).
Source: RNAcentral